Molecule: regulatory RNA element, 45 nt
Organism: Lasius niger
Lineage: Eukaryota; Metazoa; Arthropoda; Insecta; Hymenoptera; Formicidae
Rfam family: Histone 3' UTR stem-loop
About the family: The mRNAs of metazoan histone genes lack a poly-A tail. 3' end processing occurs at a site between a highly conserved stem-loop (modelled by this family) and a purine rich region around 20 nts downstream (the histone downstream element, or HDE).
Source: Rfam
CAAACGGCCCUUUUCAGGGCCACAAAUUAUCCCAACAUUGGAAUU